This 73-nucleotide transfer RNA is filed under the name Paenibacillus odorifer. Its description in RNAcentral is "tRNA-Phe". It matches the Rfam family "tRNA". Rfam says of the family: Transfer RNA (tRNA) molecules are approximately 80 nucleotides in length. The record is from RNAcentral. Lineage: Bacteria; Bacillati; Bacillota; Bacilli; Caryophanales; Paenibacillaceae. RNAcentral also lists the same sequence under 5 other names.
GGCUCGGUAGCUCAGUUGGUAGAGCAUAGGACUGAAAAUCCUAGUGUCGGCGGUUCGAUCCCGUUCCGAGCCA